AGCCUACGACAAGGAACUUGCUGCCUCCCAGAUCCACCACACGAACCUGCAGCUGGGGGACGGUCGCACCAGAUUCUCCACCUGGACAUCAGAGCUCUUCCCACCGCACGAUCUAGGUAGGGUAAGUCUGUGACACACAGGCAACGCAUACAGACCUCUACUGAGGUUUAUGACAAGCUGAACAGUAGGUUUUAUCACUUGGUUUCAGUGAUAUAAUUAUAGAUAAAGACAUAAUGCAUUCAUAUAAUAUGUAUAUAAUUUUAUAUUUUUAAUGUUUCAAAGUUUUUCUGUACUCAGCACCAGUGUUAUCACUGUGAGGCUCUGUUUCAUCCUCCCUCCACUUCACUGGCAGGUUAAAUACCUGUAUUCAUCCCUGCGCUGUAUUGCAUGGGGAGAAGCUGCUGUAGCUACAACUUGUUCGGAGACUGGAGUGCUCUGACAUCCUUCACUCUCGUUUUUGCCAGAGCCUGUACCUAUUGUCCGUCCAAACAAAAAUGCCUCGUCCAUCCCCAGAGGUGAUGAAGACCCAGAGAGAAAUCAAGCGUUGACAAGAAUCACUACUACGCAGCUCUCCUACCCAGAGGUCUGUUCCCAGCUUUGCUGUGCGGGUGUUUCUCUGGCGGAGACCCUCUCUUUUUUUAUGUACCCUACUCUGGCACCUAAAGGCCAGAGUUGUCCUUCUGUUGUCCCUUCUCCCCUCCCCACGCUGGGCUCUGCAGGGUGCAAUGUGCAACAGGGUGCCUUUCCCACCUAGAGCUCGUUUCUGUUAAAGCAGCUCCUGUGUUCUCCAGACGGACAGGUGGAACCUCGCGCCGAAGCCUGACUUGCUGAAGCAUCAAAGCAACAUCUGCCUGGGAGAUGAGCGUUCAGGCUCCUGCUUCUUCAGCACAACGCAGCAGGCAGACUAUCAGCCGCCCCGCCAGAGCCAGAGGGUGAUGGCAGACAGCAGGAGCCACCGUGAGAGCCACAUCCCCUUCAACUACCACGCAGAUGAAAGUUCUGUCACAACCACGCAGGCCAUGCUGGUCCCACACAGGCAGCAGAAACAACGACUCUCCGAAGACAAGUUACAGCAGAUCAAACGCUCACACCUGGAUCUACCCUGGAGGGCACGGGACCUCUUCAGGACUGAGCAGAAAGACGAGUUCACGCCCAAGUCCAGAGGCCCAGCAGAAAUCCAAAAGGCAAACUGCCAAGUGAGCUGCGUGCCCCUGGGGACCCUGAAAGGAUACUGUCCCCAGAGGAAGGUGCUCUUCGCAGAAUGAUCUUCUCCCUUCUUCGGUGACCGCCCAGAACUUGCUGCGCUGUGGACUGCUGACACGUCGCGUUACCUGUUAGCCGUCCUGGUGCCUUGCUCUUGGCCCAUCUGUGUGUUAUUACAGGGAAUGUUUAUUUCCCGAGUUGAAUGAGGAGACAAGAAGGUGUUGUGACAGCAAGAAUAAACACAGGGAGAUUAGCCCA
This 1461-nucleotide long non-coding RNA is filed under the name Calidris pygmaea (Spoon-billed sandpiper). Its description in RNAcentral is "lncRNA (ENSCPGG00000014017.1)". Lineage: Eukaryota; Metazoa; Chordata; Aves; Charadriiformes; Scolopacidae. The record is from RNAcentral.